GUCGGGCGGAGUGGAGCACGCCUGUAAUCCCAGCGGCUCGGGAGGCUGAGGCAGGAGGAUCGUUGAGUUCAAAGCCAGCCUCAGCAACAGCAAGGUGCUAAGCAACUCAGUGAGACCCUGUCUCUA
Molecule: small RNA, 126 nt
Filed under: Marmota monax (woodchuck)
Lineage: Eukaryota; Metazoa; Chordata; Mammalia; Rodentia; Sciuridae
Source: RNAcentral